AGGUGCAUUAAUGCUGUGUGUGGACUAACUUGGGACCAAAAUUAGUCCCAAAUUAGUCCACACACAUAGUGUUAAUUCAUUUUAAUGUAU
Molecule: long non-coding RNA, 90 nt
Organism: Gavialis gangeticus (Gharial)
Lineage: Eukaryota; Metazoa; Chordata; Crocodylia; Gavialidae
Exons: 3
Source: RefSeq, a predicted model, not a curated record